Molecule: unclassified non-coding RNA, 376 nt
Filed under: uncultured bacterium
Lineage: Bacteria
Description: contains 16S-23S intergenic spacer region
Source: RNAcentral
UCCGGUUUGUCACCGGCAGUCUCUUAUGAGUUCCCACCAUUACGUGCUGGCAACAUAAGACGAGGGUUGCGCUCGUUGCGGGACUUAACCCAACAUCUCACGACACGAGCUGACGACAACCAUGCACCACCUGUGUACAGACCUUGCGGGGGAACCAUCUCUGGAACUUUCCUGUACAUGUCAAGCCUUGGUAAGGUUCUUCGCGUUGCAUCGAAUUAAACCACAUGCUCCACCGCUUGUUCGGGCCCCCGUCAAUUCCUUUGAGUUUCAGCCUUGCGGCCGUACUCCCCAGGCGGGGCACUUAAUGCGUUAGCGCCGACCCUCGGGGGGUCGCUCCCCCAAGCGCCUAGUGCCCAUCGUUUACGGCGUGGACUAC